GUUGUAUGGUUAAGUGACUAAGCGUACACGGUGGAUGCCUUGGCAGUUGGAGGCGAUGAAGGACGUAUUAACUUGCGAUAAGCCUAGUCAAGCUAGUAAAAAGCACUUGAGACUAGGAUUUCCGAAUGGGGAAACCCACCUGCUUGCAGGUAUCGUUAACUGAAUACAUAGGUUAACGAGGCGAACGCGGAGAACUGAAACAUCUAAGUACCCGUAGGAAAAGAAAUCAACCGAGAUUCCGGAAGUAGCGGCGAGCGAAACCGGAACAGCCCUUAAGCUUAUUAUGUGUUAAUGGAAGGCCGCUGGAAAGCGCCACGAUACAGGGUGAUAGUCCCGUACAUGAAAAGACAUUUUAAGUGAAAUCGAGUAGGUCGGAGCACGUGAAACUUUGACUGAAUAUAGGUGGACCAUCAUCUAAGGCUAAAUACUCCCAACUGACCGAUAGUGAACCAGUACCGUGAGGGAAAGGCGAAAAGAACCCCUGUGAGGGGAGUGAAAUAGAACCUGAAACCGUGUACGUACAAGCAGUAGGAGCCCACUUGUUGGGUGACUGCGUACCUUUUGUAUAAUGGGUCAGCGACUUAUAUUUUGUAGCGAGGUUAACCGAAUAGGGUAGCCGUAGGGAAACCGAGUCUUAACUGGGCGAAUAGUUGCAAGGUAUAGACCCGAAACCCGGUGAUCUAGCCAUGGGCAGGUUGAAGGUUGAGUAACAUCAACUGGAGGACCGAACCCACUAACGUUGAAAAGUUAGGGGAUGACCUGUGGCUAGGAGUGAAAGGCUAAUCAAACCGGGAGAUAGCUGGUUCUCCCCGAAAUCUAUUUAGGUAGAGCCUCGGACGAAUACUUACGGGGGUAGAGCACUGUUAAGGCUAGGGGGUCAUCCCGACUUACCAACC
Molecule: ribosomal RNA, 896 nt
Filed under: Pseudoalteromonas porphyrae
Lineage: Bacteria; Pseudomonadati; Pseudomonadota; Gammaproteobacteria; Alteromonadales; Pseudoalteromonadaceae
Description: bacterial LSU rRNA
Rfam family: Bacterial large subunit ribosomal RNA
Source: RNAcentral